This 77-nucleotide microRNA precursor is filed under the name Tetraodon nigroviridis (spotted green pufferfish). Its description in RNAcentral is "microRNA tni-mir-216b precursor". Its record names the gene tni-mir-216b. It matches the Rfam family "mir-216 microRNA precursor family". The record is from miRBase by way of RNAcentral. Lineage: Eukaryota; Metazoa; Chordata; Actinopteri; Tetraodontiformes; Tetraodontidae.
UGACUGUUUAAUCUCUGCAGGCAACUGUGAUGGUGAUUUUUAUUCUCACAAUCACCUGGAGAGAUUCUGCAGUUUAU